CUUGCGGAGACUGGGCGCAGGGCGUGGGGGUCAGUGAGGGCGCGGUGGGUCAGCCCCAGCCCGGCUGGCAGUCGCGGGGCUGGGAAGGUAGGGAACCCUCCGCUCUCACCCCACUUCCUGUUUGGUCGGUGUGUUCUGUGACCAUAGAUGGUCAAGUCUGGGGCCGCGCGGAAGCCUCCGCCCUGUGGUUUUGGAGCCCUUCCUCCCGGCGCGCAGGGUGUGGUCCCCGAGAAUAAGAUGAGCAGAAUUAAAGCAGAUCCUGCACCCACUCUGCUGAAAUCCGGCUUCUGAGGCAGCCUCGCCCAGGGCUGGGUGGGCUCAGGCGGCUGCUACUCGGUUCAGGGGAGGUUACGCACGGUGGCUGCCGCGCGCAGGGGAGGCUUCGCUUCCGUACUCCUUGGGCCGGGAGAUCCGAUCUUUGUUCCCUCAAGACUCACACUCUCCAACCGGUCAUUAUCCUCCCACAAAGAUUUAUUUCUAGAAAAAAUUGGCAAGUGCCACAGUUCCCGCCCCUUCAGCUGAACGACUGUGACAGCUCCGUGUUUCAAGUUGAAUGCAGGCGUUAUGUGCCAGAGUCAAUCAUUCAACAAAUAAAGUUCUUAAAAUAACAGCUACCAUUUACUGCACGCUGACUACUUGCCAGGCCCAUGCUGAGUUCUUCAAGCGUAUUUUCAUUUACUCCUAAUAGCAACUCUCGGUGAGACAGAAGGAACAUAGACCAUACACGCAUUCUAGAGGAAGAGGAGAGAGAAGAGGAAGCAGGAAGGAGAAUGAAGAAAGUUUCCUCAUCAGAUAAUAUUUUCCUGACAGUGUCUUGGAUUUUACUUCUGCCCAGAGCCAUUUCUUAACUUUAGAAUCAUUUACCAUCUGGAGAGGCUGACAGUGAAAACAGUUUUAUUUUCAAGCCAAGCCAA
RNAcentral lists this long non-coding RNA (914 nucleotides) under Homo sapiens (human). RNAcentral describes it as "HSALNT0291622". Lineage: Eukaryota; Metazoa; Chordata; Mammalia; Primates; Hominidae. The record is from RNAcentral.